Molecule: ribosomal RNA, 252 nt
Filed under: uncultured bacterium
Lineage: Bacteria
Description: partial 16S ribosomal RNA
Rfam family: Bacterial small subunit ribosomal RNA
Source: RNAcentral
GCAAGUCGAACGGUAACAGAAGAUAGCUUGCUAUUUUGCUGACGAGUGGCGGACGGGUGAGUAAUGCUUGGGAAUAUGCCAAAACGUGGGGGACAACAGUUGGAAACGACUGCUAAUACCGCAUAAUAUCUUCGGAUCAAAGCAGGGGACUUUCGGGCCUUGCGCGUUUUGAUUAGCCCAAGUGGGAUUAGCUAGUUGGUAAGGUAAUGGCUUACCAAGGCGACGAUCCCUAGCUGGUCUUAGAGGAUGACC